GAAAUGCGAUAAGUAAUGUGAAUUGCAGAAUUCAGUGAAUCAUCGAAUCUUUGAACGCACCUUGCGCUCCUUGGUAUUCCUUGGAGCAUGCCUGUUUGAGUAUCAUUAAAUCUUCAAAGUAAAUCUUUUGUUAACUCAAUUGGUUUCUCCUUUGGUAUUGGAGGUCUUUGCAGCUUCACACCUGCUCCUCUUUGUUCAUUAGCUGGAUCUCAGUGUUAUGCUUGGUUCCACUCGGCGUGAUAAGUUAUCUAUCGCUGAGGACACUGUAAAAGGUGGCCAAGGUAAAUGCAGAUGAACCGCUUCUAAUAGUCCAUUGACUUGGACAAUACUUUUAUGAUCUGAUCUCAAAUCAGGUAGGACUACCCGCUGAACUUAAGC
RNAcentral lists this unclassified non-coding RNA (378 nucleotides) under plant metagenome. RNAcentral's name for it is "partial contains 5.8S ribosomal RNA, internal transcribed spacer 2, and large subunit ribosomal RNA". The stretch from base 1 to 105 matches the Rfam family "5.8S ribosomal RNA", at positions 50 to 154 of the family's 154-position model. The record is from RNAcentral.